This 450-nucleotide ribosomal RNA is filed under the name uncultured Archaeospora. Its description in RNAcentral is "SSU rRNA". It matches the Rfam family "Eukaryotic small subunit ribosomal RNA", at positions 569 to 1021 of the family's 1831-position model. The record is from RNAcentral. Lineage: Eukaryota; Fungi; Glomeromycota; Glomeromycetes; Archaeosporales; Archaeosporaceae.
GGCAGCCGCGGUAAUUCCAGCUCCAAUAGCGUAUAUUAAAGUUGUUGCAGUUAAAAAAGCUCGUAGUUGAAUUUUGGAUUCGGCCAAUUGGUCCAUCUUUUAGAUGAGUACUGGUUGUGUUGGGUCUAUCCGCCUGGUAAUACGUAAUGUCCUUUAUUGGAUGUUGCGGGUAGUCAGGACCUUUACCUUGAAAAAUUAGAGUGUUUAAAGCAGGCUUAUGCCGGAAUACGUUAGCAUGGAAUAAUAGAAUAGGACGAAGUUGUUUUAUUUUGUUGGUUUCUAGGACAACCGUAAUGAUUAAUAGGGAUAGUUGGGGGCAUUAGUAUUCAAUUGUCAGAGGUGAAAUUCUUGGAUUUAUUGAAGACUAACUACUGCGAAAGCAUUUGCCAAGGAUGUUUUCAUUAAUCAAGAACGAAAGUUAGGGGAUCGAAGACGAUCAGAUACCGUCGU